RNAcentral lists this unclassified non-coding RNA (440 nucleotides) under Hevea brasiliensis (rubber tree). The record is from RNAcentral. Lineage: Eukaryota; Viridiplantae; Streptophyta; Magnoliopsida; Malpighiales; Euphorbiaceae.
GUUUGACAAAGAAGGCUUCUUAAGAGAUGAAAAGGCGCUGUCUUUGGGUACAAAGAUGGUAAUGCCUUCUUCUGUGUUGUUGGCUUGGUUUUGGAAAGUGUCAAUUACCUUGGUGGAUUCAAGGUAAUUAAGGAAUGUAUGGAAUGGACCAGCAACAGAAAGUAAAUCAGUGAGAUUCACAUAAGGAGGUAUUGGUGCUGGAGCUGGAGCUGGAGUUGGAGGCAGGAUUGGUGCUGGAGGACUAGCAGCAUGAACAUUUGUUGGUGAACUGACCAAAAACAGUAGUGUACUGCUAAACAUAAAAAUCAUGGAGAACUCCAUGGUUUUCAGAAAGUUUAUGUAACAAUUUGUGGAACACUCUCCAAAUUCCUGACCAAGAGGAAUUCAGAGAGAAAUGGAAGAGAUGGUGGGGGAUGCCAAAGCUAAGUUGCCAAAUUGCC